Pogonomyrmex barbatus (red harvester ant) is the source of this 747-nucleotide long non-coding RNA. The record is from RefSeq and is a predicted model, not a curated record. Lineage: Eukaryota; Metazoa; Arthropoda; Insecta; Hymenoptera; Formicidae.
CUAAUAUUAAGUUAACUCCCGCACAUCUCCAGCCUUUAUCAAUGAAUGAUGGAUGGCCUUUGGUAACCUAAACAUUCCAUCUCUGCCAUAUAUAUGAAGGAUGAUGUGGAAAGAAAUCCGAAAUUGUUUCGGAUGAUCUCAGAACAAGUACUCUUUAGUAAAAAAAAAAAUGACUUUCUUCAUUAAGCUGUCAUGGGUCUAAAAAACGAUUUAAAACUGAUUUAAUCAAUCAGUAUCUGUCGCUCGGAUAAUUGGAAAUCUCCUGACAAAGAAAAAACAAAUUGAAGAUUGUGCAACAUCUUAGAAAAAUCGAUUCGACUCGACAAGUCAACUUCUUUUCUCGAUGUUUCUUCGUAAUGCGAAAUUAUUAGCAUCAUUCAAUCCCAGCAAAUACAGAUAUACAACAAUAACGUAUUAUACAACAGUAGCGAGAUGCUUGUGGCUAUCUUUACGCAAGACUUCGAGAUGAACCUACAGUUUCACAUUUCAGCAACGGCUGAAUCGAUUAAGUUAUAACAGUAAUGGAAUUGUCAUAUAAUUUUGAUUAGUCGAGAUCUGUUGAAAAGUUUAACAUUAUUUUUGAUAGCGAUAGUAAACAUAAAACGUAAAUGUAUGUUAAAAAGAUUUAAUCUCUUAUAUCAUUAGUUUUUUUAAAUGCUUUACAUUUGUAAUCUAGUUUUUACAACUAAGGUUUAAAUAACUUUUUUGGAGAUAACUUUAUGAUAAAUUAUCAAAGAUAACAAAUAU